CUUUUUGCAACUGCUCUGCUGUCUACAAAAGACCAAAUUUAAUCAAACAUUUAGAUCUAAAUCAACUACUUCAUUAUGAAGGAGAUGGAAAAGUGUCUAAUACCAAAGCAUGCAGAUAUAUCUUGCUCUUUUUAUCUUUCUAUUCCUUUUGGUCAGAGGCAUAAAUUCAAAAUCACAAGGAAUGGUAUGAAUAAAAUGUAAUACCUUGUAAUUAGUAGUUAAUGUGAUCCAUUGUAAAUCACAAGUUUUCCAUGAAGAUAGUAAAUUUACUUCAUUAAGAAAAAAAAUAUGUAAAACGAUUCUUUACAUAAUCUGUUGAUAACUUGAACUUCGAUAACAGAAAGCAUAAACAUACCUUCCCAUAAGCAAGGGCAUCUGG
Molecule: unclassified non-coding RNA, 379 nt
Filed under: Hevea brasiliensis (rubber tree)
Lineage: Eukaryota; Viridiplantae; Streptophyta; Magnoliopsida; Malpighiales; Euphorbiaceae
Source: RNAcentral